This 208-nucleotide ribosomal RNA is filed under the name uncultured Gammaproteobacteria bacterium. RNAcentral describes it as "uncultured gamma proteobacterium partial 16S ribosomal RNA". It matches the Rfam family "Bacterial small subunit ribosomal RNA", at positions 568 to 775 of the family's 1533-position model. Lineage: Bacteria; Pseudomonadati; Pseudomonadota; Gammaproteobacteria. The record is from RNAcentral. RNAcentral also lists the same sequence under 1 other name.
CACGCAGGCGGUCGGAUAAGUCAGAUGUGAAAGCCCCGGGCUCAACCUGGGAACUGCAUUUGAAACUGUUCGACUAGAGUCUUGUAGAGGGGGGUAGAAUUCCAGGUGUAGCGGUGAAAUGCGUAGAGAUCUGGAGGAAUACCGGUGGCGAAGGCGGCCCCCUGGACAAAGACUGACGCUCAGGUGCGAAAGCGUGGGGAGCAAACAG